This 440-nucleotide ribosomal RNA is filed under the name uncultured bacterium. RNAcentral's name for it is "bacterial SSU rRNA". It matches the Rfam family "Bacterial small subunit ribosomal RNA", at positions 958 to 1397 of the family's 1533-position model. The record is from RNAcentral.
AACGCGAAGAACCUUACCUACUCUUGACAUCCUGCGAAUUUUUUAGAGAUAAGAAAGUGCCGAAAGGAGCGCAGAGACAGGUGCUGCAUGGCUGUCGUCAGCUCGUGUUGUGAGAUGUUGGGUUAAGUCCCGUAACGAGCGCAACCCUUAUCCUUAGUUGCCAGCACGUAAUGGUGGGGACUCUAAGGGGACUGCUGGUGAAGAACCGGAGGAAGGCGGGGACGACGUCAAGUCAUCAUGGCCUUUAUGAGUAGGGCAACACACGUGCUACAAUGGGAAGUACAGAGGGAAGCCAACCUGCGAAGGGGAGCCAAUCUCACAAAACUUCUCGUAGUCCGGAUUGGAGUCUGCAACUCGACUCCAUGAAGUUGGAAUCGCUAGUAAUCGCGAAUCAGAAUGUCGCGGUGAAUACGUUCCCGGGCCUUGUACACACCGCAUAC